This is a small nucleolar RNA of Ailuropoda melanoleuca (giant panda), 138 nucleotides long. Ensembl annotates it as small nucleolar RNA, H/ACA box 47. Its record names the gene SNORA47. Lineage: Eukaryota; Metazoa; Chordata; Mammalia; Carnivora; Ursidae. The record is from Ensembl.
CGGAGGAGUGAGAAGGUGAGGCAGUUCAGUCCUGUGCUGCCUUCCACCGGUUAAGACCUCCGAGAGUGAAGGCCUGCCAAAGCAGAGGAUGUCCCUCUGCUGCCCUUGGAGGGGCAGCGCUGUGCUGGCCGACAUUUG